This 301-nucleotide ribosomal RNA is filed under the name uncultured bacterium. Its description in RNAcentral is "partial 16S ribosomal RNA". It matches the Rfam family "Bacterial small subunit ribosomal RNA", at positions 509 to 808 of the family's 1533-position model. The record is from RNAcentral.
CAGUAGCCGCGGGAAAACGUAGGGUGCGAGCGUUAAUCGGAAUUACUGGGCGUAAAGCGCGCGCAGGCGGUUGUGUAAGACAGGUGUGAAAUCCCCGGGCUUAACCUGGGAACUGCGCUUGUGACUGCACAGCUAGAGUAUGGCAGAGGGGGGUGGAAUUCCGCGUGUAGCAGUGAAAUGCGUAGAGAUGUGGAGGAACACCGAUGGCGAAGGCAGCCCCCUGGGCCAAUACUGACGCUCAUGCACGAAAGCGUGGGGAGCAAACAGGAUUAGAUACCCCGUAGUCCCUGUCUCUUAUACA